AUUACGCACUUGGUGAGGGCAUCCUGCAGGAAUGAAAACUGCCUCUCCAAGUCUUUGCUCGAAUGUCCAAGGUUCAAUCCCUAAAAUGUUUUCUCUUGUGCUCCAUAGUUAGGUAGAAGCUCUGGUCAUGGAUUGGAUGAAAAACCUGAUCAACCGGACAACAGAAAGUGUGCCUAAAUUCCUUUGCAUGCUUUAAAAGAUACUCAUUCAACUUGGCAGGUAAUGCAUCAUGGACAGAAUACUGAACUGGGAAAAGCAAUAAACUGCUAUCAAGGACUGGCCAUGAGGUUUAUGAGUCUCACUAGACAACAUAAGGCAGAAGAGAUUGGAUGAAUGUGGUGGUUCUAUAUAUUUGGAAUAAAAUGUUAGUUUUUCACCCAUUUUGGAAUUUUCAUACAAUUGAGAUACCUUCUUACCAGGUCCUUGUCGAUUUGGUCAUAGUUUUUGGAUGUGAGCUAAGGUAAUAUCCUCCAAGUUGUGAUUUCAAGUAUUAACCAGGGCUAUUCACAAGUCAACACAUAUAUUAAGGAGGUGGCAUUGACAUGAGAAUAAAGUGAAGAAAUCAAAUGAAUGAACUACAAUAGUCCCGUCAAAAUCAUACCGCAUCUGACAUAUCACAGUGAAGCUUUGUCACUGAAUCCCCUCUCCCAAGUUCCUUGGUGACACCAUACGCGAUGUAUGUCUUUGGACCCAAAUCUGGUUUUAUGACUCCAGCCGGUAAUUUAACAGCAAGAUUCAGAAUCCCUAUCCUUGGAUCUGUGUACUCUUGGAAUGGUAAUGCACUGAUGAAUUCAUCGCAGUGCCGAGGCAAGAGAUUCUCAAACUUGUCAGAUGGUGGCCAAUCUUUAAGUUUGAGCAUUUCAGGCCAAAGAUUUUCAUACCUUCUGCCUUCUGUAUAACCUUUAAAAAACUUUCGAGUAUUGAUCGGAACCUGUGAAAGUUAUAUGUAAUGUGAAGCUUAGCACAA
Molecule: long non-coding RNA, 967 nt
Organism: Solanum tuberosum (potato)
Lineage: Eukaryota; Viridiplantae; Streptophyta; Magnoliopsida; Solanales; Solanaceae
Exons: 4
Source: RefSeq, a predicted model, not a curated record